Long non-coding RNA from Mauremys mutica (yellowpond turtle), 424 nucleotides. RefSeq lists it as uncharacterized. The record is from RefSeq and is a predicted model, not a curated record. NCBI's taxonomy places the organism in Eukaryota, Metazoa, Chordata, Testudines, Geoemydidae. The transcript has 3 exons.
UCGAGACAUGCUGGCUCUCAGUGAAGCUUAGACGGAAAACCACGCACCCCACACAGAGGUUGGAACCACCCACUGCCCGGUUGUCCUGAGGAGCCAUGAUUUCUCCAGGAGCUGGGUAAAGGGUACCGGGAUCAGCCUCUCAAAGGAUUCCAGCCGGCUGUUCCAAUCCAGGAGGAAAACUGUGCCACUGAAGUCUCCCAGCACCUGGGCAGUGAAGUGCCACUUAACCCCGCUGUGAUACACAGACCUUGCCCUGGCUGUCUGCACAGGGCUGAAUUUCACCCCUUCCGAGUGUAUUCUAAGGGCCCCCCGUGCAUCAUAUGGGCAUUCUUGGGGGCGCAGAUUGCAUCAGACCUGCACCUGAAUAAAUAAUAGGGACUGAAAUAUGCAGGCACUAAAGUUCUGCAGCCAAAUUCUCAGGAAC